Molecule: long non-coding RNA, 1526 nt
Organism: Actinia tenebrosa (Australian red waratah sea anemone)
Lineage: Eukaryota; Metazoa; Cnidaria; Anthozoa; Actiniaria; Actiniidae
Source: RefSeq, a predicted model, not a curated record
UACGGAAAAGUUUUUUUCCCCGCGAAAUUCAUUGACGCUUAAUCGUACAGUAUGAUUAUCAAGAAAAUUAUGAAUCUUGCUGUAGAACAUGCAAAAGUUCAGUUUCUUUUCUUUAAUCAAAAAACAAAGUCUUAUAUUAAGCUUACAUGUGAUGUCUUGGACGAUAUGCAAGGGUUUUUGAUGGCUUUAUUUUAUCAAGAAAGAUUUGCAGUUUUAAAUGUCUUCCAUCCAGAAUAAAAAAAAUCUAAGUUUUAAAAGAUGUAAAAGACAGGAUUUUGAAUGGCUAAAGCGCCCAGCAAGAGGAGAUAUAUAUACAAGACCACGAGAUCAAGAAGGUGUAUCACAUACUUGCUGAGCCAAAAUGGGUGAAGACUCUUUCACAGCCUUCAUUAGCAGAAGAAUCUGGUGCCAACCCUAAUGAUGUAUUAAGUGAAGUAGGCUAAAACGCUUACAGGUCACGUUACCCCAAACUGUUAAAACGAGAAGUUGUGGCAAAAUGAAUAACAGAAAUGAAUAAGAGCACUAACUGAGGUACCAAAGCCCUAUUACAACUCAUUUGUAAAUAGAUUCUUUUACUUUGAAUGUUUCAUAAAAAUAGACCAAUUCAGCUAAGKCAAAUGUUUUACCCAAUUCAAAUCUACUGAGAAUACUUUUAUUUUUUUGUCGAUUAUUUUUGGAUAUCAUAUCCAUAUCAAUGUUUCGUUGAAUGUAAAUAUAAUGGACAAAGAAAAGUUUCCCCAGUAGAUUUACAGGAUUUAAAUUGGGUAAAACCUUUUGUUAGCCAAAUUGGUCUAUUUCCUUCAUCUUACCAACCUACAAACUUUCUUUUAUUUGGAUACAUGAAUCAAUUUUCCAUAAGCGACAAUAAAUAAAUAAAUAAUAAUAUAUUGAAAUGACUUUUCCGAAAAUGGGAAUACAUGUCAUAGGUAAAAUAAUCUUUUUGAUAAAUCUAACUCUUAAAACUUCAUAUAAUUUAUCUUACAAAACUGACAAAAUCAGCGAAAAAGGUGAUAAYGAGAAGCCCCAGGCAAUACCCAGGGAGGUUGGCACUCGCUGUUGGAGUGGUGGUGGCAUAUGUAAUAACAACAAGCUGCCUAGUGUCAUCUGGGAGGGGUAGUAACAUCACAGGCUCUAAGCCACUUUUAUCAUGAACCAGAGAUAUAUUAUUGAGGUAGGGUGUGUCGAGUGUUUUGUGGUAGGCCCAUGCGAAGUAUCGAAGACCAGGCUGCAAAGAAAGAGCAAGCUGGAUUAGUUCUUUAUAUCAAUCACUGCCAUAAAUGCGCCGGAAUCGUCAUGGAAGCUGUAUUGUUGAAGUGGAUUAAAGUGAAAGGCUUUGCAUGUUGCAGGCAUUAUGGAAUUGUACGAACAGCUAACCCCAACGAGAGUCUACUCCGCCUACAARACGGGAACAACAGACAAGAAUAAUGUCACAUGCAGAAUGUGCGGCGAGGGUUCCGAAUGUCUGGCACAUGUACUGGCUGGAUGUCCGUCUCUUGCACAGUCCAAGUACCUGGAUAGACACAACG